UACGUAGGGGGCAAGCGUUAUCCGGAUUUACUGGGUGUAAAGGGGGCGCAGACGGCGAUGCAAGCCAGGAGUGAAAGCCCGGGGCCCAACCCCGGGACUGCUCUUGGAACUGCGUGGCUGGAGUGCAGGAGGGGCAGGCGGAAUUCCUGGUGUAGCGGUGAAAUGCGUAGAUAUCAGGAGGAACACCGGUGGCGAAGGCGGCCUGCUGGAUUGCAACUGACGUUGAGGCCCGAAAGCGUGGGGAGCAAACAGG
This 253-nucleotide ribosomal RNA is filed under the name uncultured bacterium. RNAcentral's name for it is "partial 16S ribosomal RNA". It matches the Rfam family "Bacterial small subunit ribosomal RNA", at positions 524 to 776 of the family's 1533-position model. The record is from RNAcentral.